RNAcentral lists this ribosomal RNA (773 nucleotides) under uncultured bacterium. Its description in RNAcentral is "bacterial SSU rRNA". It matches the Rfam family "Bacterial small subunit ribosomal RNA", at positions 8 to 796 of the family's 1533-position model. The record is from RNAcentral.
AGAGUUUGAUCAUGGCUCAGAAUCAACGCUGGCGGCGUGCCUAACACAUGCAAGUCGCACGAGAAAGGGGCUUCGGCCCUGAGUAGAGUGGCGGACGGGUGAGUAACACGUGGGUGAUCUGCCCUCCAGAGGGGGGAUAACCCGCCGAAAGGCGGGCUAAUACCGCAUGGAGUUGCAGUUGUCGUGACUGCAAUGAAAGCAGCAAUGCGCUGGAGGUGGAGCCCGCGCCGGAUUAGCUAGUUGGUAGGGUAAUGGCCUACCAAGGCUACGAUCCGUAGCCGGCCUGAGAGGGCGACCGGCCACACUGGAACUGAGACACGGUCCAGACUCCUACGGGAGGCAGCAGUGGGGAAUUUUGCGCAAUGGGGGAAACCCUGACGCAGCAACGCCGCGUGGACGAUGAAGGCCUUUGGGUCGUAAAGUCCUGUCAGCAGGGAAAAACACAAUGAUGGUACCUGCAGAGGAAGCUCCGGCUAACUUCGUGCCAGCAGCCGCGGUGAUACGAGGGGAGCAAGCGUUGUUCGGAAUCAUUGGGCGUAAAGGGCGCGUAGGCGGCCAGACAAGUCUGGGGUGAAAUCCCUCGGCUCAACCGAGGAAUGGCCUUGGAAACUGUACGGCUGGAGUACUGGAGAGGAAAGCGGAAUUCCCAGUGUAGCGGUGAAAUGCGUAGAUAUUGGGAGGAACACCGGUGGCGAAGGCGGCUUUCUGGACAGUCACUGACGCUGAAGCGCGAGAGCUAGGGGAGCAAACGGGAUUAGAUACCCCAGUAGUCC